RNAcentral lists this ribosomal RNA (468 nucleotides) under uncultured bacterium. Its description in RNAcentral is "partial 16S ribosomal RNA". It matches the Rfam family "Bacterial small subunit ribosomal RNA", at positions 28 to 507 of the family's 1533-position model. The record is from RNAcentral.
GACGAACGCUGGCGGCGUGCUUAACACAUGCAAGUCGAACGGAAAGGCCUUGCUUUUGUGGGGUGCUCGAGUGGCGAACGGGUGAGUAACACGUGAGUAACCUGCCCUUGACUUUGGGAUAACUUCAGGAAACUGGGGCUAAUACCGGAUAGGAGCUCCUGCUGCAUGGUGGGGGUUGGAAAGUUUCGGCGGUUGGGGAUGGACUCGCGGCUUAUCAGCUUGUUGGUGGGGUAGUGGCUUACCAAGGCUUUGACGGGUAGCCGGCCUGAGAGGGUGACCGGCCACAUUGGGACUGAGAUACGGCCCAGACUCCUACAGGAGGCAGCAGUGGGGAAUAUUGCACAAUGGGCGGAAGCCUGAUGCAGCAACGCCGCGUGCGGGAUGACGGCCUUCGGGUUGUAAACCGAUUUCGCCUGUGACGAAGCGUGAGUGACGGUAAUGGGUAAAGAAGCACCGGCUAACUACGUG